CGGCCGCGUCGACGUGCAAUUGCAUCACUACCAGAUGGACCUGCGUUGUAUUAGCUAGUUGGUGGGGUAACGGCUCACCAAGGCGACGAUACAUAGCCGACCUGAGAGGGUGAUCGGCCACACUGGGACUGAGACACGGCCCAGACUCCUACGGGAGGCAGCAGUAGGGAAUCUUCGGCAAUGGACGGAAGUCUGACCGAGCAACGCCGCGUGAGUGAAGAAGGUUUUCGGAUCGUAAAGCUCUGUUGUAAGAGAAGAACGAGUGUGAGAGUGGAAAGUUCACACUGUGACGGUAUCUUACCAGAAAGGGACGGCUAACUACGUGCCAGCAGCCGCGGUAAUACGUAGGUCCCGAGCGUUGUCCGGAUUUAUUGGGCGUAAAGCGAGCGCAGGCGGUUAGAUAAGUCUGAAGUUAAAGGCUGUGGCUUAACCAUAGUACGCUUUGGAAACUGUUUAACUUGAGUGCAAGAGGGAGAGUGGAAUUCCAUGUGUAGCGGUGAAAUGCGUAGAUAUAGUGGAGGAACACCGGUGGCGAAACGG
Molecule: ribosomal RNA, 540 nt
Filed under: uncultured Streptococcus sp.
Lineage: Bacteria; Bacillati; Bacillota; Bacilli; Lactobacillales; Streptococcaceae
Description: bacterial SSU rRNA
Rfam family: Bacterial small subunit ribosomal RNA
Source: RNAcentral